Molecule: non-coding RNA, 26 nt
Filed under: Homo sapiens (human)
Lineage: Eukaryota; Metazoa; Chordata; Mammalia; Primates; Hominidae
Source: RNAcentral
UGACCAACGCGCUCCCUGUAGGGUCC